RNAcentral lists this ribosomal RNA (1513 nucleotides) under Triticum aestivum (bread wheat). RNAcentral describes it as "partial small subunit ribosomal RNA". Lineage: Eukaryota; Viridiplantae; Streptophyta; Magnoliopsida; Poales; Poaceae. The record is from RNAcentral.
AAAUUGUUGACCCGGUCAAAGUCGAAUGACACGAUUCUAAAUUGAGUAUCUCAAUUAAUUGUGAGACUUGAAAAUAAAAAGACAUAGCGUACAGUAUAAAAGAAUGGCGACUGAUAGGCGCUGGUGCACCGGCCCAAAUUUGGGCCGGUCGCACCAGGAGCGUUCGAUUAAAUAACUAUUAGCCGAACGAUUGUCUUCUUUCCUCCCCACACGUCUUCUUUCAGAAAAAAAAUCCUCAUUGCGCCGCCAUUAAGGAGCGACGCACCCGGCCUCGAAGCACCGCUCGCGUGAUUCUCGCCUGUCGCUGCCCUCGUCGCUGGUCGCCGUCGCCGUCCUCGUCGCCGGUUGCUACCGGCCGUCGUCGUCGUUGUUGGUCGCCGUCGCCGGCUUCGUGCAUGUAGCAUCUUGCGCCCGCGGUUGCAGCUCCCCAUGACGACGGACGCAGCUCUGAUGGCAGCCGGCCAUCCUCGUCGCCGGUUGCAUCACCGUCGGGCCAUGGUCACCACCGUCGUAGGAUGGCCGCCACUGGUUGCAGCAAAUCAGUCGCCGGUGGGUAGCUUUCCCGGUGCCGGUUGCAACAAAAAUCGCAGCACAAAAAUCAUGUAGCAAUUGAGAACGCUGAUAGUAGCAGAAUUCAAAACAUUGGCAGCGAAAAAGAGUGGUGGAAUUUUCACCAACAAAGACAUGGUAGCAAUUUUUUUUGUCGGUUCCAGCAAAACCAGAAGAUGGUGGUAGCAAAAAUUGGUACACAUACACUAAACAAAAAAUAUGGUAGCAAAAUUUUGGAUUGGUUCCAACAAAAAUCGAAGACGGUGGAAGCAAAAAAUUGAUACACUGGUUCCAGCAAAAAGAAACAAACGUGGAAGCAAAAUAGGAUUGGUUGGUUCCAACCAAAAAAGAGACGAUGGCAGCAAAAUUUGAGGCUGCUUCCAGCAAAAUCCGAAGAUGGUGGAAGCAAAAAAUUGGUACACUGGUUCCAGCAAAAAAGAGACAAAUGUGGUAGCAAAAAGGGAUUGGUUGGGUCCCGAAAAAAAAAGACGAUGGCAACAAAAUUUCAGGCUGCUUCUAGCAAAAUGGUAAAACGCCAGAUCUUCAUCACUUGUCGCCGGGGUUCGAAUGUCCCCAACGCCGGCCGCCGCCGGUCUCCGACACUUGUCACCAUCGCGCCAGCAUCAUAUCGAUGGGCGCGUUGGUUUGCAUCACUUGUUCCCGGUGAGGAGAAAGGGGGUGGGGGCAGCCACGGCCACCGCGGGAUAGAAAAGAGAAAAAAGUGGCCGGUGGCCAUGGCGGCCGGCGUAGCUUGUCGCCGGUGAGAUACGGCGAGCAUCUACAGAGAAGAAGAGGGGGGAGAGCGGAGCUUGCGGUGCAGAGGAGAUGUUCGCGAGCAGAAGAAUGAGUGGAUCUCGUUCACCCGUGAAGAGAUAAGGUAAAAAGACUAGGCGGCCGUUCGGUGAUGGACCCACGUGUAGACGAACGAGUUGCGGAGUGCGCGCUGUGACCGGCCGAAACUCGG